CAGACGGGUGAGUAAUGUAUAGGAAUCUACCUAGUAGUACGGAAUAAUUGUUGGAAACGACAACUAAUACCGUAUACGCCCUACGGGGGAAAAAUUUAUUGCUAUUAGAUGAGCCUAUAUUAGAUUAGCUAGUUGGUGGGGUAAUAGCCUACCAAGGUAAUGAUCUAUAGCUGAUCUGAGAGGAUGAUCAGCCACACUGGAACUGAGAUACGGUCCAGACUCCUACGGGAGGCAGCAGUGGGGAAUAUUGGACAAUGGGCGAAAGCCUGAUCCAGCCAUGCCGCAUGAGUGAAGAAGGCCUUUGGGUUGUAAAGCUCUUUUAGUGAGGAAGAUAAUGACGGUACUCACAGAAGAAGUCCUGGCUAACUCCGUGCCAGCAGCCGCGGUAAUACGGAGAGGGCUAGCGUUAUUCGGAAUUAUUGGGCGUAAAGGGCGCGUAGGCUGGUUAAUAAGUUAAAAGUGAAAUCCCGAGGCUUAACCUUGGAAUUGCUUUUAAAACUAUUAAUCUAGAGAUUGAAAGAGGAUAGGGGAAUUCCUGAUGUAGAGGUAAAAUUCGUAAAUAUUAGGAGGAACACCAGUGGCGAAGGCGUCUAUCUGGUUCAAAUCUGACGCUGAAGCGCGAAGGCGUGGGGAGCAAACAGGAUUAGAUACCCUGGUAGUCCACGCUGUAAACGAUGAAUGUUAAAUAUGGGGAGUUUACUUUCUGUAUUACAGCUAACGCGUUAAACAUUCCGCCUGGGGACUACGGUCGCAAGAUUAAAACUCAAAGGAAUUGACGGGGACCCGCACAAGCGGUGGAGCAUGUGGUUUAAUUCGAUGCAACGCGAAAAACCUUAGUCAUUCUU
This 845-nucleotide ribosomal RNA is filed under the name Wolbachia pipientis. Its description in RNAcentral is "bacterial SSU rRNA". It matches the Rfam family "Bacterial small subunit ribosomal RNA", at positions 99 to 982 of the family's 1533-position model. The record is from RNAcentral. Lineage: Bacteria; Pseudomonadati; Pseudomonadota; Alphaproteobacteria; Rickettsiales; Anaplasmataceae.